Molecule: non-coding RNA, 229 nt
Organism: Agelaius phoeniceus (red-winged blackbird)
Lineage: Eukaryota; Metazoa; Chordata; Aves; Passeriformes; Icteridae
Source: RefSeq, a predicted model, not a curated record
UUGAAGCAUCCUGGUCUUGGGUUUUUGUUUUUUUUUUCCUCGUUAAGUGAGCGUGACUAAAGAGGACAGUUCUUGCCGAAGGUUCCCAUCAAAUCAUUUAGUUAGAAUCAAGAAGACUUUGUGAAACCCCUAACAUCUGUAUCCACAUCCCACAUGACUUCUCAAAUGGCAUUGAAUUGUCAAGCAAUCAGAAGUAAAGCCUGGAAGACCUGAAAAAAAUUAAUAAAUU